GGGUGAGAAACGGAGGCCUUCAGCCAACAGCUGGGAGAAGCUGAGUCCCAUCAGCCAUUCAAAAGACUGCAGCCCCAGCCAAGAGUUUGAUGUAACCUCAGGAGAGACCCUGAGCCAGAACCACCUAGAAAAGCUGGGAUACAUGAAGACUGCCAUCCCUUGAGUCACUUGCCCUGUAGCUGCCACUGUUGGAAAAGGGCUUGCUUCUGUGUCCUUGUGCCCACUUUGAAAAUCCCUGGGAAGUCCUUGGAGUCAGAUGAGCAGGCCUCCGCCACUCUGCCAAAAAGUCUGUUCACAAUGGUGCUUCUACAAUUUCCUUAUAGGAGGAGUGAAGAGUAAGCAUUUGGAUUGGACCAGGAUUUGGAGAACUUGUCAUGUUGCUCUACGUGCAUAUGAAAUACAUCAUUGUAACUUAGAAUGUGAAUUACAGAACAAACAUGAAAGUUAGAAAAA
This 453-nucleotide long non-coding RNA is filed under the name Homo sapiens (human). RNAcentral's name for it is "novel transcript". Lineage: Eukaryota; Metazoa; Chordata; Mammalia; Primates; Hominidae. The record is from RNAcentral.